UACGGAGGGUGCAAGCGUUAUCCGGAUUCACUGGGUUUAAAGGGUGCGUAGGUGGUUUGGUAAGUCAGUGGUGAAAUCUCCGGGCUUAACCCGGAAACUGCCAUUGAUACUAUCAGUCUUGAAUACCGUGGAGGUCAGUAGAAUAUGUCAUGUAGCGGUGAAAUGCUUAGAUAUGACAUAGAAUACCAAUUGCGAAGGCAGCUGGCUACACGAAUAUUGACACUCAGGCACGAAAGCGUGGGGAUCAAACAGG
Molecule: ribosomal RNA, 253 nt
Filed under: uncultured bacterium
Lineage: Bacteria
Description: partial 16S ribosomal RNA
Rfam family: Bacterial small subunit ribosomal RNA
Source: RNAcentral